This 251-nucleotide unclassified non-coding RNA is filed under the name air metagenome. Its description in RNAcentral is "partial contains small subunit ribosomal RNA, internal transcribed spacer 1, and 5.8S ribosomal RNA". The stretch from base 1 to 46 matches the Rfam family "Eukaryotic small subunit ribosomal RNA", at positions 1786 to 1831 of the family's 1831-position model. The record is from RNAcentral.
AAGUCGUAACAAGGUUUCCGUAGGUGAACCUGCGGAAGGAUCAUUAGUGAAUGAAAGGGUUGCCCUCUGGGUGCCCGAAUACUUUCACCACCUCACACUAUCUGUGCACUGUCUUGGGGAGCAGAGAUGGGGCCUUCUGGGUCCCUAGACACUCUGCUGCCCUCAUCAUUCAUAAACUCUUGCAUGUAAAUUGUAUGUGAUCUUCUUUGAAAAAAGAAAUACAACUUUCAACAACGGAUCUCUUGGCUCUC